AGAGAUUUAGGUAACACAAACCAAGAGCCUUCAAAGCCCUAAAUAUGAGCAUAAAACUCCUAAUCUCUG
RNAcentral lists this transfer RNA (69 nucleotides) under Tarentola mauritanica (Moorish gecko). Its description in RNAcentral is "tRNA-Trp". The record is from RNAcentral. Lineage: Eukaryota; Metazoa; Chordata; Lepidosauria; Squamata; Phyllodactylidae.